RNAcentral lists this transfer RNA (76 nucleotides) under Myxococcales bacterium. Its description in RNAcentral is "tRNA-Ala". It matches the Rfam family "tRNA". Rfam says of the family: Transfer RNA (tRNA) molecules are approximately 80 nucleotides in length. Their secondary structure includes four short double-helical elements and three loops (D, anti-codon, and T loops). Further hydrogen bonds mediate the characteristic L-shaped molecular structure. tRNAs have two regions of fundamental functional importance: the anti-codon, which is responsible for specific mRNA codon recognition, and the 3' end, to which the tRNAs corresponding amino acid is attached (by aminoacyl-tRNA synthetases). tRNAs cope with the degeneracy of the genetic code in two manners: having more than one tRNA (with a specific anti-codon) for a particular amino acid; and 'wobble' base-pairing, i.e. permitting non-standard base-pairing at the 3rd anti-codon position. The record is from RNAcentral. Lineage: Bacteria; Pseudomonadati; Myxococcota; Myxococcia; Myxococcales.
GGGGCCAUAGCUCAGCUGGGAGAGCGCCUGACUGGCAGUCAGGAGGUCAGCGGUUCGAUCCCGCUUGGCUCCACCU